RNAcentral lists this ribosomal RNA (253 nucleotides) under uncultured bacterium. RNAcentral describes it as "partial 16S ribosomal RNA". It matches the Rfam family "Bacterial small subunit ribosomal RNA", at positions 524 to 776 of the family's 1533-position model. The record is from RNAcentral.
UACGGAGGGUGCAAGCGUUAAUCGGAAUUACUGGGCGUAAAGCGUGCGCAGGCGGUUUGUUAAGUCCGUUGUGAAAGCCCCGAGCUCAACUUGGGAAUUGCAGUGGAUACUGGCAGGCUGGAGUACGGUAGAGGAAGGUGGAAUUCCCGGUGUAGCGGUGAAAUGCGCAGAUAUCGGGAGGAACACCAGUGGCGAAGGCGGCACUCUGGGCCGGUACUGACGCUGAGGAGCGAAAGCGUGGGGAGCGAACAGG